AAUCAUUCACGGACAACACUUU
RNAcentral lists this non-coding RNA (22 nucleotides) under Dasypus novemcinctus (nine-banded armadillo). The record is from RNAcentral. Lineage: Eukaryota; Metazoa; Chordata; Mammalia; Cingulata; Dasypodidae. RNAcentral also lists the same sequence under 16 other names.